AAUAUAUAUUUUUUGCCUUUUAGGUAAUGACAUAAUAACUCUAAAAGCAAAGAUUUAGAAGAUUUAAAUCGUUAAUUAAAUAU
This 83-nucleotide small RNA is filed under the name Arabidopsis thaliana (thale cress). RNAcentral's name for it is "ATSL183700". The record is from RNAcentral. Lineage: Eukaryota; Viridiplantae; Streptophyta; Magnoliopsida; Brassicales; Brassicaceae.